RNAcentral lists this transfer RNA (74 nucleotides) under Salinispora arenicola. RNAcentral describes it as "tRNA-Gly". The record is from RNAcentral. Lineage: Bacteria; Bacillati; Actinomycetota; Actinomycetes; Micromonosporales; Micromonosporaceae.
UCCCGGCCCGGGUCGGGCCGGGGAUCGAUGGCGCUACCGCCGCUGGGAUGCGCGUUCGCGGCGUGCGCCGGGCG